CUGAGACUGCAGCAGCCGAGCGAGCGCGGAGCGAUGGGCUGGUGGAAGCCAGAGCGCAGCGCGAGGAGCGGCGGCGGUGCGAGGGCUACAUCUGAGCCAUGAAGCUGACCAACUUCAAGAAACCACUGAAUUUACAAGUCAUCUAGGAGCUCAGUGAGGAACCCUCUCAAACACUGCCAACACCAUAAGCUGGUACACUGAACUUUGUCCAUCUACACGGAAGACUGAAUUUCCUAUAGCCCUCAUACACUGGCUAUUUUUUCUCUUGUAUCCAUCCCGUGUACCGCUUGGAUGUUGUGGAUGUUGGAGGAAAAGUGGAUAGGUCUCUUACCUGUUGCCCGUUGUGGCAUUCAGACCAUUGUCCUUUCCUCCUACCUCAUUAUCUCAUCUUUUUUGAAGUUAAUUUCUUGAGUACAUCACCUCUUAUCCCUUCUUCUUGUUCCCAUUUUCUAUCUUUUUACUCUUUUAUUCUGGUACUUCAGUUCCCAUAAUUCCACAAAUAUGUGAGGCCCUAUUAACCAUGAGUAUCAUUGCCCAUGCUCUUGUCUUUUUUUAUCUAAUCUAGAUUCCAAUCACCAUAAUCAUUCCCUGAAGAGACCCAUUCUCCCUUACUCCUCUCUUACUUUGUCAAACUAAUUUAGGAAAACACCAUUACUGUUUGAAGCUGAAUGUGGCAACUUGGAAAGCAGUAGCAUGUGGCUAGAAACAGGCAAUAUUUUACCUUAGCACUGCAGAGAAUUCCUGCCACACUUCUAGGGGCAGUUUUCUCCCUCUCUCUCUGCUAGAUGGUUAUUUCAUACCUUUACUUUCUCAUCAAGCAUCCACAACUUCUCCUUGCCUCACUCUGCUGAUAAUUUUGCUUCUUGUUCUCCAGGGAAAUAAGAAGCAAAAUGGAUGAGAGAGAGUUUUCAUAUGCUCCCACUACCAAAUCUAAAAUCCUGUGUAAUCUUCAUGUUACCAUGCUAUAAGGAUCAUUUAAUAUUCAGUCUUCAUUUAAGUCCUUAACAGUGUUUGAAAUAGUUGUUCAUUCUCACCUCUCUGAAAUACUAUCCUCACUUAACCUUCUGGACACCCCACUUUGUCUAAUUAUCCUGCUUCUCUAGUCAUUUUUUCUUUGUCACCUUUGCUGGCUUCUUCUCAUCUCCCCUACUUCUAGCCUUCAGAGUAAAUAAGACUCCAUCCUCAGGAUGGAUUCCUUCACUCUCUAUGCUCACUCCUUAAGUGGCCUCAUCCAUUUAUGGCUUUAAAUACCAUCUAUACACUAAUACUUCAGUCUAUAGCUCUAUUUUAAAACUAUUCCUGAAUUACAGACUCAUAUAUUUAAGUACUUACAUGACAUUUCCAGUUGGAGGUUGUAUUAGUUUGUUCUCACAUGGCUAUAAACAACCACUUGGGACUGACUAAUUUGUAAAGAAAAGAAGUUUAAUUGACUCACAGUUCUGCAGUCUUAACCAGAAGCAUGAUUGGGAAGCCUCAGAAAACUUAGGACAACGUGGUGAAAGGCAAGCAUGCACAUCUUAUCAUGGCGCAGCAGGAGAGAGAGGGGAGAAGAGGUGCCAAACACUUUUGAAGAAUCAGAUUUUGUGAAAACUCACUCACUAUCAGAUCCCCCAAGAUCUGAUCACCUAUGAGCAGGCCCCUCCUCUAAUUUAACAUGAAAUUUGGGCGGGGACACUGAUCCAAACCAUAUUGGAGGUCUAAUAAGUAUAACUAAUUUAUCAUGUUCAA
This is a long non-coding RNA of Sapajus apella (tufted capuchin), 1728 nucleotides long. RefSeq lists it as uncharacterized. The transcript is spliced from 3 exons. The record is from RefSeq and is a predicted model, not a curated record. NCBI's taxonomy places the organism in Eukaryota, Metazoa, Chordata, Mammalia, Primates, Cebidae.